Molecule: long non-coding RNA, 223 nt
Filed under: Vitis vinifera (wine grape)
Lineage: Eukaryota; Viridiplantae; Streptophyta; Magnoliopsida; Vitales; Vitaceae
Description: long non-coding RNA (VVIN_LNC007826)
Source: RNAcentral
AUAUUUCUAAGAGUGAAUAAUAGGGUUGAAUUAAGGGGUAAUUUCAUUGUUCAAAGCUUUCAAUCAAUCAAGUUCAUGACUUAUUAUUGUUUGCAAUACUAUUCAUUUUUCCAUAUAAAUAUGGAUACGGGUGUUAGUAUUUUCCUUUUUUUUUUUUUUUUUUGCCUUUAUUAGAAUUGGAUUUUGAUUGUGAAAUAAUUCAUGUUCAUGAAUUGAAUUGAAG